UACCUCCACGAGGAUGGUGAUACAGUGC
Molecule: non-coding RNA, 28 nt
Filed under: Mus musculus (house mouse)
Lineage: Eukaryota; Metazoa; Chordata; Mammalia; Rodentia; Muridae
Source: RNAcentral